CGCUGCGAGGCGACAAUCAGGGUAAAGCGCCAAGCCCCGAUUUGAUAUCGGGGCUUUUUGUUAUGUGUGUUUUACGCUGACCUGAUCUGACAUGGGCUUUAUGCCCUUUUUUU
Molecule: non-coding RNA, 113 nt
Organism: Aeromonas schubertii
Lineage: Bacteria; Pseudomonadati; Pseudomonadota; Gammaproteobacteria; Aeromonadales; Aeromonadaceae
Source: Rfam